RNAcentral lists this long non-coding RNA (1444 nucleotides) under Marmota monax (woodchuck). Lineage: Eukaryota; Metazoa; Chordata; Mammalia; Rodentia; Sciuridae. The record is from RNAcentral.
UCAAAGCAUUUCUCCCGCUUCACACAUGAACCAACACCCAGCACGUGCAAGAGCUGGGAAGACCCAUUCAUCAGACACUCAUCAUACCCCAGUCCACAGGAGGGGGCUUGGGCCCAGCUGGCCUUCGCAGUAUCACAGAGGUCUACACUGCCCCUGUGCGUCCUUAGCAGGACCAAUCAGAACCCUUCCUUGGGCUUGACAUUGGACAUAGGAAGCACACUUGUCAUAUGGCUGGGGGUUUUGACCCAAAUGUCACCUUUCAGCCACUAUGGAGCUAUGGAAAGCCAACCUUCCUGCUGAGAGGGAAUGAAUGGAGCCAGCACAGACAAGGAGGCAGAGCCUGAGCCCUGGCUCCUGUCAAAGCAGGACAAUCCCAGGGCAUGUCAACAGGAAGCAGAUCUCUUUUUUGCUGGCCGAGCUGGUUUUCUGGCAUUUGAAGCUGGGAGUCCUUUUUCCUGCACAAAAUUGAGGAUGGCCACAGGGUGGGGGAGGGCAAGGCAGGAGGAAGUGGGAUGGGCUCAGAGCCUCCUUUUGGUUCCAGCUGCACAGGCACAUUAAGUGCAGAAAAGUCACAACUUUGCUCCACAGAGAAGGCAAUUGGAGAAAGGCAGUGGGAAAAGGCCAGAUCCCAAGGGCUGGGACACACAGGUGGGACUCACUCACCGGACUGCCAAUCACUGACCAGAGAAAAAGGCUUAGAACAGGUGCUGUGGCGUCACCUUUCUUCCCCCUUGUUCUUGGGGAGACACUGGGGAAACCCUCUGGUUUGUUUGGGGUACUUUUGGUACUAGAGAUUAAACCCAAGGGUGCUUAACCACUGAGCCACAUUACAUCCCUAGACCUUUUCAUUUUUUGAGACAGGGUCUCACUAAGUGGCUUAGGGUGUUGGUUAAUUGCUGAGGCUGGCCUUGAACUUGUGAUCCUCCUGCUUUAGCCUCCUAAUUCACUGGGAUUAUAGGCAUAUGCUGCCUAUAAUCUUAGCAUAUCUUAGCCACCACACCUGACUAAGAACUCUUGAGACAAUGAAAAGAAAAAAAACCCUAUGGGGGGAGGGGAGACAAGGUCAUCAAGGCUUGCUGUAUCCAAUGACCUACUAGUGGCCAUUCAAUGGGUGAUGGGGUAUGAUCAGCGGGGGACAGUUCACCCUGUCCAUUAAAUGAUCCUGGAAGGAAGAUAGAACAAUAUGGCAUUACUCAAAUGCUGGGCACCUCCCCAGUCUAGAAGGCAGAGCUUAGAAGCAGAAAGGUUGAAACAACCAAAAUGUCCUUCAAAAGACAAUGAAGCUGGGCAUGGUGGCACAUGCCUGAAAUCCCAGUGGCUUGGAAGCUAAAGCAGGAGGAUUGCAAGUUCAAAGGAAGCCUCAGCAAUUUACAAUUUAGCGAGACCCUGUCUCAAAAUAAAAUAUAAAAAGGACUGGGUAUGUGGCUCAGUGGUUCAGUGCCCU